This 471-nucleotide long non-coding RNA is filed under the name Homo sapiens (human). Its description in RNAcentral is "non-protein coding lnc-ALKBH3-3:1". Lineage: Eukaryota; Metazoa; Chordata; Mammalia; Primates; Hominidae. The record is from RNAcentral.
AUGGCGCUGAAAGCAAAGAAGGAAGCUCCUGCCCCUCCUAAAGCUGAAGCCAAAGCAAAGGCUUUAAAGGCCAAGAAGGCAGUGUUGAAAGGUGUUCACAGCCACAAAAAAAAGAAGACCCGCACGUCACCCGCCUUCUGGUGGCCCAAGACACCACGACUCCGGAAGCAGCCCAAAUAUCCUCGGAAAAGCACCCUCAGGAGAAACAAGCUUGACCACUAUGCUGUCAUCAAGUUUCCAUUGACCACUGAGUCUGCCAUGAAGAAGAUAGAAGACAACAACACACUUGUGUUCAUUGUGGAUGUUAAAGCCAACAAGCACCAGAUCAAAAAGGCUGUGAAGAAGCUCUAUGACAUUGAUGUGGCCAAGGUCAACACCCUGAUUCAGCCUGAUGGAGAGAAGAAAGCAUAUGUUCAACUGGCUCCUGAUUACAAUGCUUUGGAUGUUGCCAACAAAAUUGGGAUCAUCUAA